Molecule: ribosomal RNA, 253 nt
Filed under: uncultured bacterium
Lineage: Bacteria
Description: partial 16S ribosomal RNA
Rfam family: Bacterial small subunit ribosomal RNA
Source: RNAcentral
UACGGGGGGGGCAAGCGUUGUUCGGAAUUACUGGGCGUAAAGGGCUCGUAGGUGGCCAACUAAGUCAGACGUGAAAUCCCUCGGCUUAACCGGGGAACUGCAUCUGAUACUGGAUGGCUUGAGAUUGGGAGAGGGAUGCGGAAUUCCAGGUGUAGCGGUGAAAUGCGUAGAUAUCUGGAGGAACACCGGUGGCGAAGGCGGUAUCCAGGACCAACACUGACGCUGAGGAGCGAAAGCCAGGGGAGCAAACGGG